AUGCCGCGUGCAGGAAGAAGGCCCUCUGGUUUGUAAACUGCUUUUGAUUGGGAAGAAAGCUUCUCAUGCGUGGGAUUUUGACGGUACC
RNAcentral lists this ribosomal RNA (88 nucleotides) under uncultured bacterium. Its description in RNAcentral is "partial 16S ribosomal RNA". The record is from RNAcentral.